RNAcentral lists this ribosomal RNA (497 nucleotides) under uncultured bacterium. Its description in RNAcentral is "partial 16S ribosomal RNA". It matches the Rfam family "Bacterial small subunit ribosomal RNA", at positions 28 to 507 of the family's 1533-position model. The record is from RNAcentral.
GACGAACGCUGGCGGCGUGCCUAAUACAUGCAAGUUGAGCGAUGAAGCUUGGUGCUUGCACCAAUUUGAAGAGCAGCGAACGGGUGAGUAACGCGUGGGGAAUCUGCCUUUGAGCGGGGGACAACAUUUGGAAACGAAUGCUAAUACCGCAUAACAACUUUAAACAUAAGUUUUAAGUUUGAAGGAUGCAAUUGCAUCACUCAAAGAUGAUCCCGCGUUGUAUUAGCUAGUUGGUGAGGUAAAGGCUCACCAAGGCGAUGAUACAUAGCCGACCUGAGAGGGUGAUCGGCCACAUUGGGACUGAGACACGGCCCAAACUCCUACGGGAGGCAGCAGUAGGGAAUCUUCGGCAAGAGACGAAAGUCUGACCGAGCAACGCCGCGGGAGUGAAGAAGGUUUUCGGAUCGUAAAACUCGGUUGGUAGAGAAGAACGUUGGUGAGAGUGGAAAGCUCAUCAAGUGACGGUAACUACCCAGAAAGGGACGGCUAACUACGUG